Egretta garzetta (little egret) is the source of this 1554-nucleotide long non-coding RNA. RefSeq lists it as uncharacterized. Lineage: Eukaryota; Metazoa; Chordata; Aves; Pelecaniformes; Ardeidae. The transcript is spliced from 3 exons. The record is from RefSeq and is a predicted model, not a curated record.
CGAGCCCCCCCCCCCCCAGUGACUGCCAGCAGCCGCCAAGGUUUGCCUUUGCAGAGCCCCCUACAUCCCUGGAGGAGUCCUGGGGACCACGCUGAGCUACAGGUGCCACCUGGGGGACACGAUAGCCAGAGGCAAGUCCCCUGUGGUCAACCUUCCUCACCAGUGCCCGCUGGUUGGUGGCAAACCCCAACUUCUGCAUCGGUGGGUUCACUCCGUCACGGUGUCCUGGGGUCUGGAGAGGGGGGUGUAUCCCCUGCUGCACCCCAGGCCCCACUGGCAUUCGGCACGGCUGGGAAGGGGCUCCCGGUCCCUGGUUUUAGCACAGUUGGGAACAAGCGCUCGCCCGCAUGCCUGCCUGGGGUUGCCCUUUCUGCUUAGAAACAUUAAUCUCUGGGAGAUGAUCUCUGCCCUUCUCAUUUACUUUGCCAUCUGGUGGUACAGCGUAAGUGCUACCAUACAUUCGCAGAGAAACGAGGUACAGCGUGGAAAAGGCCGUGGGAGCCUGUUGUCCCCAUGGUAAUGCACCUGUACCGGCCCUGGGGCCAACACACCUCUUUGUCCCCUUCUCCUUCGUCCUGUUUCCCUACGGACCAAGACCUCUGCCCUGAGCUCACUGGUCUCUAUUGGUUUCCCAAUAAGUGUAUAAAGCUUGGCUUCUUUUAUUUGACCUUAGCUUUAUUUGUGCUUUUAUUUGCAUUUCAUUUGUGUUUUAACCUCCAGUUCCUCCGGAGUUAACGUGGAAUUUGUGUCUUUUCUGCAAGUGCUGGUACUUGCUCAUGAGGCAAUCGAGGUGCCCGAUAAAUGGGCAAUCGGUCUGCAACGCCAUGAACAGCACUGCCACCGGUGUUUCACCAUCGUGCUGUAAGAUAAAGCUAAUGCUGAUCGCUUCUCCUUCCAGGAAAGUCACGGGGUCCACCAGACAUCCUGAAUGGCAACUUCCAGUGCCCUUAUUUAGUGGCUUUGAUGUGGCCAGACCCCAUCUCACAGCAGGGGCAACUUCUGGUUAAUGACCGGCCUGCAUGCAGUGGUGGGGAGGCCGGGAUGAACCCUUCCCAGGUUGUUGGGAGAAGCUGGGAAAGUACUAAGCUUGUCUUUCUUUAGGUAUGAAUUAACAGGAGUCGUCUUCUGCCAAACGUGUGGUAUCAGGAGAUGGAGUUGAUUGGGAUACAGCAUCUCCAUACUGUGAAACUGCAAGUCUCUGCUCUGGCAUGAUGUUUGCAUCACUUCGAGGCUUUUCAGCGAGUAUCCUGCGGAAAACACCCUUCCUGCCACUGCAGUGAAACAACGAUUCUCUCGAAGAGGAACACGCAUCUCAUUCGAGGGAAAACCACAGCCAGCCAUUUCCAUCAACACGUUACUCUUCUUCUAUAUAAACCCCCGAAGUUCUCCCUUCCUGUCAGAGCCCUGUCCUCCUCAGCUGUCACCGGGCCACCGUGAAACACCAUUUUCGGAAGCCAGUCUUGCAGAACAAGCACUUGCAGAUUGCUGGUUAUUUUUAUGCAUCUCUUACCAUAAGCCAUGUGAGUGACGAGAUGAAAAACCCACAGCGGUAAG